GAUGAAGAACGCAGUGAAAUGCGAUAAGUAAUGUGAAUUGCAGAAUUCAGUGAAUCAUCGAAUCUUUGAACGCACAUUGCGCCCCCUGGUAUUCCGGGGGGCAUGCCUGUUCGAGCGUCAUUAUAACCACUCAAGCUCUCGCUUGGUAUUGGGGCUCGCGGUUCCGCGGCCCCUAAAAUCAGUGGCGGUGCCUGUCGGCUCUACGCGUAGUAAUACUCCUCGCGAUUGAGUCCGGUAGGUCUACUUGCCAGCAACCCCCAAUUUUUACAGGUUGACCUCGGAUCAGGUAGGGAUACCCGCUGAACUUAAGCAUAUCAAUAAGCGGAGGA
This 329-nucleotide unclassified non-coding RNA is filed under the name soil metagenome. Its description in RNAcentral is "partial contains 5.8S ribosomal RNA, internal transcribed spacer 2, and large subunit ribosomal RNA". The stretch from base 1 to 120 matches the Rfam family "5.8S ribosomal RNA", at positions 35 to 154 of the family's 154-position model. The record is from RNAcentral.